GGGCCUGUAGCUCAGCUGGGAGAGCGUUCGGUUCGCAUCCGAAAGGUCGACGGUUCGAUCCCGUUCAGGUCCACCA
This 76-nucleotide transfer RNA is filed under the name Bacillota bacterium. Its description in RNAcentral is "Firmicutes bacterium (anaerobic digester metagenome) tRNA-Ala". It matches the Rfam family "tRNA". Rfam says of the family: Transfer RNA (tRNA) molecules are approximately 80 nucleotides in length. Their secondary structure includes four short double-helical elements and three loops (D, anti-codon, and T loops). Lineage: Bacteria; Bacillati; Bacillota. The record is from RNAcentral. RNAcentral also lists the same sequence under 1 other name.